GGGAAAGUGGCUCAGUGGUAGAGUGCUUGCCUUGCAUGCAUGAGGCUCUGGCUUUGAUUUCCAGCACCA
This 69-nucleotide transfer RNA is filed under the name Dipodomys ordii (Ord's kangaroo rat). It matches the Rfam family "tRNA". Rfam says of the family: Transfer RNA (tRNA) molecules are approximately 80 nucleotides in length. Their secondary structure includes four short double-helical elements and three loops (D, anti-codon, and T loops). Further hydrogen bonds mediate the characteristic L-shaped molecular structure. tRNAs have two regions of fundamental functional importance: the anti-codon, which is responsible for specific mRNA codon recognition, and the 3' end, to which the tRNAs corresponding amino acid is attached (by aminoacyl-tRNA synthetases). tRNAs cope with the degeneracy of the genetic code in two manners: having more than one tRNA (with a specific anti-codon) for a particular amino acid; and 'wobble' base-pairing, i.e. permitting non-standard base-pairing at the 3rd anti-codon position. The record is from Rfam by way of RNAcentral. Lineage: Eukaryota; Metazoa; Chordata; Mammalia; Rodentia; Heteromyidae.